GUUCGGUUUGUUACGGGUGGUUGGCUCUUUGCUUGUGCAACAACUUCCACCUGACUUACCUUUUCAGUUUCUUAUCAAAUGCUUCUUAAGCAUUGGAUUAAGUAUGGGUUUCUUGUGUUGCAUACCAAUUUGAUGGAAUCGUCUGAUGCUUAAUUUUAGAUUUCAUCUUCUAUCUUAAAUGUGAUGUGAGAUGAACCUUAAAGCAUUCUUUAUGAACCUCAUCUUUAAUGUUUGUGCAUUAUUUGGUGUGGAUCAUUUUGAGUUGCUUGGUCUCUUGGAUAUGGAACUUGAUGUGGGCAUGGGACUUUAUGAGUCCUUUUGUUGUCCUGUUUUAGCAUUAUUGCUUCUCUAAUACGAUUGUCUAUCACGUAUGGCACGUCUCAGCGUGGUAGGCUAUGUCGGAGAUGAAUGCUACCUGGUUGAUCCU
This 427-nucleotide unclassified non-coding RNA is filed under the name Fluminaria pinifolia. RNAcentral's name for it is "Macowania pinifolia partial contains external transcribed spacer and 18S ribosomal RNA". The record is from RNAcentral. Lineage: Eukaryota; Viridiplantae; Streptophyta; Magnoliopsida; Asterales; Asteraceae.